GGCAAUUACCAGAGAGACUUUAGCAGAUCUUAAUUGAACACAUAUACCGAGAAGCUACUGGAUUUGCGACUUACAUACAGGUGAUGUUCUCAAAGAUUUGAAAUUAUAGGCAGAGGCAUGAAGUUCACUAAAACUUCCAGUCACUGUGCAAGAAAAUCCAGACACCUCUCAAAAGCCAUUCACCUUCAUUUUCUAUCAUUUUGCCUUGGUACCCACCCAAUUCCCAUGCCUCUCCUUUGUUCUGUUUACUAUCUUUCUUAAUUUGAUGCAUACUUGCAUCUUUGUCAGUCUUUUUUUUUAAAUUGUUUUUUUCUUUUAAUUAUAUAAAUUAAGAUUUGUAUCAUAGGGCCGUAUCUGAGACAUAUGUAGCCGUAUCAUACAAAUUUUUAAAAUACAUUUGUAAAACAAACACAGUUGGGACAUACCCAACGUGCAAUAUUGUAUUGGAAAGGGAAGUGGUAUUAUAUUUGAAUGGGUGAAUAUCUCGCUCUUGAUAUUGCAUGAA
Long non-coding RNA from Quercus lobata, 505 nucleotides. RefSeq lists it as uncharacterized. The transcript is spliced from 2 exons. NCBI's taxonomy places the organism in Eukaryota, Viridiplantae, Streptophyta, Magnoliopsida, Fagales, Fagaceae. The record is from RefSeq and is a predicted model, not a curated record.